RNAcentral lists this ribosomal RNA (412 nucleotides) under Paenibacillus sp. BGI2013. Its description in RNAcentral is "bacterial SSU rRNA". It matches the Rfam family "Bacterial small subunit ribosomal RNA", at positions 1132 to 1533 of the family's 1533-position model. The record is from RNAcentral. Lineage: Bacteria; Bacillati; Bacillota; Bacilli; Caryophanales; Paenibacillaceae.
UGGGCACUCUAGAUAGACUGCCGGUGACAAACCGGAGGAAGGUGGGGAUGACGUCAAAUCAUCAUGCCCCUUAUGACCUGGGCUACACACGUACUACAAUGGCCGGUACAACGGGCUGCGAAAUCGCGAGAUGGAGCCAAUCCCAACAAAGCCGGUCUCAGUUCGGAUUGCAGGCUGCAACUCGCCUGCAUGAAGUCGGAAUUGCUAGUAAUCGCGGAUCAGCAUGCCGCGGUGAAUACGUUCCCGGGUCUUGUACACACCGCCCGUCACACCACGAGAGUUUAUAACACCCGAAGUCGGUGGGGUAACCGCAAGGAGCCAGCCGCCGAAGGUGGGAUAGAUGAUUGGGGUGAAGUCGUAACAAGGUAGCCGUAUCGGAAGGUGCGGCUGGAUCACCUCCUUUCUAUGGAGA